RNAcentral lists this long non-coding RNA (734 nucleotides) under Taeniopygia guttata (zebra finch). Its description in RNAcentral is "lncRNA (ENSTGUG00000019552.1)". Lineage: Eukaryota; Metazoa; Chordata; Aves; Passeriformes; Estrildidae. The record is from RNAcentral.
GUGAGAGGCCAGCCGUCCUGCCAGCACCCCACAGCCAGGCCCCACUCCCAGCUCCUGUCUGGGAUGGCUCCCUCCAACCACCCCAAACCCCACUGGAGGUGAGGAGCUUCUUCCUAUAGGAAAAAUCCCAAUUUUUUUUUUUCCUGAAAAUGCCCAGGGGGAAUAUUUUUUUUUAAAAAUACUCCUAUUGUUGAGGAGCUACCUAGGGCUGGGGAAGAUGGGAAUGAUGGAUUAUCUCAGGCUGGAGCAGGGAUGUUCCAGCUCCCUGUGAGGAAGGAUACAGGAUUAUCCCAGGCUGGACUAGGGAUGGUCAGGGAUACUCCAGUUCCUUGUGAGCAGGAAUACAGGAUUAUCCCAGGCUGGACCAGGGAUGCUCAGGGAUGCUCCAGCUCCCUGUGAGGAAGGAUACAGGAUUAUCCCAGGCUGGAGAAGGGAUGCUCAGGGAUGUUCCAGGUCCCUGUGCACACAGUGAGAAAGGAUACAGGAUUAUCCCAGACUGGACCAGGGAUGCUCAGGGAUGUUCCAGCUCCCCGUGAGAAAGGACACAUGAUCAUCCCAGGCUGGAGCAGGGAUGCUCAGGGGUGCUCCAACUCCCUGUGAGGAAGGAUACAGAAUUAUCCCAGACUGGACCAGGGAUGCUCAGGGAUGUUUCAGCUCCCUGUGAGGAAGGAUACAGGAUUAUCCCAGGCUGGAGCAGGGAUGCUCCAGUUCCCUGUGAGGAAGGAUACAGGGAU